Molecule: transfer RNA, 58 nt
Filed under: Pseudomonadota bacterium
Lineage: Bacteria; Pseudomonadati; Pseudomonadota
Description: Proteobacteria bacterium (marine metagenome) tRNA-Asn
Rfam family: tRNA
About the family: Transfer RNA (tRNA) molecules are approximately 80 nucleotides in length.
Source: RNAcentral
AGCUCAAUUGGUAGAGCGAGCGGCUGUUAACUGCUAGGUUAGGGGUUCGAAGCCCUUA